UAGUCCACGCCGUAAACGAUGUCAACUAGCCGUCGGAUUCAUUUAAGAAUUUGGUGGCGCAGCUAACGCGAUAAGUUGACCGCCUGGGGAGUACGGCCGCAAGGUUAAAACUCAAAGGAAUUGACGGGGCCCGCACAAGCGGUGGAGCAUGUGGUUUAAUUCGAUGCAACGCGAAGAACCUUACCAGCCCUUGACAUCCUCGGAACUUUCUAGAGAUAGAUUGGUGCCUUCGGGAACCGAGUGACAGGUGCUGCAUGGCUGUCGUCAGCUCGUGUCGUGAGAUGUUGGGUUAAGUCCCGUAACGAGCGCAACCCUUGUCCUUAGUUGCCAGCAUUUCGGAUGGGAACUCUAAGGAGACUGCCGGUGACAAACCGGGAGGAAGGUGGGGACGACGUCAAGUCAUCAUGGCCCUUACGACCUGGGGCUACACACGUGCUACAAUGGGGGGUACAAAGGGGUUGCCAAGCCGCGAGGGUGGAGCUAAUCCCAUAAAACCCUCUCGUAGUCCGGGAUUGGGAGUCUGCAACUCGACU
Molecule: ribosomal RNA, 533 nt
Filed under: uncultured bacterium
Lineage: Bacteria
Description: bacterial SSU rRNA
Rfam family: Bacterial small subunit ribosomal RNA
Source: RNAcentral